CAGUGAAGAGGGACAAGCUCAAAUUUUAAAUCUGUUGGGUUCUCCUGACCGAGUUGUAAUUUGAAGAAGCGUUUUCCGCGCCGUUUGAUCAGCCCAAGUCUUAUUGAAUGAGGCAUCAUGGAGGGUGAUAAUCCCGUUCGGUUGAUCAAUGGUGCUUUACGAUACGCUUUCAAAGAGUCGAGUUGUUUGGGAUUGCAGCUCAAAAUGGGAGGUAAAUUUCUCCUAAGGCUAAAUACCGGCGAGAGACCGAUAGCGAACAAGUACCGUGAGGGAAAGAUGAAAAGAAUUUUGAAAAGAAAGUCAAACAGUACGUGAAAUUGUUGAAAGGGAAACGAUUGAAGCCAGUCGUACCGACGGGAAUUCAACUUCUCGAGUGCUAAUCGUGGGUGACGUUGAGCCUCACGGCCUUCGUUGCUUGUGUUUUUGGUGCUUUUGGGGUGUACUUUUCCGUAUUGGUAGGUCAGCAUCGAUUUCGAUCGUCAUAAAAUGAUCGGGGGAAUGUAGCUCCGGUCUCGUAUCGGAGUGUUAUAGACCUUGGUAGAUGUGACGAUUGGGAUCGAGGAUUGCAACGAAUACCCUCUGGGCUAUCCGUCUGACCUCUGAAAGUCGCUCGGGUGUCGAAAGCGAGCUUAUGGCUAUUCGAGUUGGCGGUCAAUAGGUUAGAACGUGAUUACAUUCGUUA
Molecule: ribosomal RNA, 682 nt
Filed under: uncultured Glomeromycotina
Lineage: Eukaryota; Fungi; Glomeromycota
Description: eukaryotic LSU rRNA
Rfam family: Eukaryotic large subunit ribosomal RNA
Source: RNAcentral